RNAcentral lists this ribosomal RNA (167 nucleotides) under Chaetothyriales sp. RNAcentral's name for it is "partial large subunit ribosomal RNA". It matches the Rfam family "Eukaryotic large subunit ribosomal RNA", at positions 99 to 261 of the family's 3401-position model. The record is from RNAcentral. Lineage: Eukaryota; Fungi; Ascomycota; Eurotiomycetes; Chaetothyriales.
CGGCAACAGCUCAAAUUUGAAAUCUGGCCUCUUUCGGGGUCCGAGUUGUAAUUUGUAGAGGAUGUUUUGGGUACCGCGCUGGUUUAAAUUUCUUGGAACAGAAUGUCAGAGAGGGUGAGAAUCCCGUAUGUGACUGGCUGCCUUCGCCUAUGUGAAGCUCUUUCGAC